AUAACAUAAGAGGUACUGCCUGCCCAGUGACACCCGUUCAACGGCCGCGGUAUCAUGACCGUGCAAAGGUAGCGUAAUCACUUGUCUUUUAAAUAAAGACCAGUAUGAAUGGCAAAACGAAAACUCAACUGUCUCCCCAGGUCAGUCAAUGAAAUUGAUCUUCCCGUGAAGAAGCGGGAAUAUAUUUACAAGACGAGAAGACCCUAUGGAGCUUUAAACCUAAUUAAUUUCAAUUAAAUAAAAUUUAACCAAUGAUUUUUACAAAAGGUUUUAGGUUGGGGCGACCACGGGGAAGAAACUAACCCCCGAGAUGAAAAUAACCUAGAAAAACACUUCGAAAUAACAAAAAAUUUGACAUAAUUGACCCAAUAAUUGAUCAACGAACCAAGUUACCCUAGGGAUAACAGCGCAAUCCUCCCAUAAAGUCCUUAUUGACGGGUGGGUUUACGACCUCGAUGUUGGAUCAGGACCCCCAAAUGGUGCAACCGCUAUUAAAGGUUCGUUUGUUCAACGAUUAAUAGUCCU
Molecule: ribosomal RNA, 525 nt
Filed under: Pseudotriton montanus montanus
Lineage: Eukaryota; Metazoa; Chordata; Amphibia; Caudata; Plethodontidae
Description: partial 16S ribosomal RNA
Rfam family: Bacterial large subunit ribosomal RNA
Source: RNAcentral